This 494-nucleotide ribosomal RNA is filed under the name uncultured bacterium. RNAcentral's name for it is "partial 16S ribosomal RNA". It matches the Rfam family "Bacterial small subunit ribosomal RNA", at positions 28 to 507 of the family's 1533-position model. The record is from RNAcentral.
GACGAACGCUGGCGGCGUGCUUAACACAUGCAAGUCGAACGGUGAAGCGCCUUCCUUUUUGGUGGGUGUGGAUGAGUGGCGAACGGGUGAGUAACACGUGAGUAACCUGCCCCCUUCUUCUGGAUAACCGCAUGAAAGUGUGGCUAAUACGGGAUAUUCUGGGUCUGUCGCAUGAUGGGUCUGGGAAAGAUAUUGUUUCGGUGGGGGAUGGGCUCGCGGCCUGUCAGCUUGUUGGUGGGGUGAUGGCCUACCAAGGCGGUGACGGGUAGCCGGCCUGAGAGGGUGGACGGUCACACUGGGACUGAGACACGGCCCAGACGCCUACGGGAGGCAGCAGUGGGGAAUAUUGCACAAUGGGCGCAAGCCUGAUGCAGCGACGCCGCGUGAGGGAUGGAGGCCUUCGGGUUGUGAACCUCUUUCGCCAGUGAAGCAGGCCUGCCUCGUUUGUGGGUGGGUUGACGGUAGCUGGAGAAGAAGCGCCGGCUAACUACGUG